RNAcentral lists this long non-coding RNA (1522 nucleotides) under Cicer arietinum (chickpea). RNAcentral's name for it is "long non-coding RNA (CARI_LNC002563)". The record is from RNAcentral. Lineage: Eukaryota; Viridiplantae; Streptophyta; Magnoliopsida; Fabales; Fabaceae.
GCCAUUCUGGUAGCAUUUUAGAUGUCUGUUCCAAUCAGCGUACUAUUUUCAUGUGUUCAAUAAUUGUCUCCACAGCUGAUCAGAACCCAGAGCAUGCCUAUCGAUUAAUUCUUGGACUUUUUACAUUGAAACAGUGCUUAUCAGGACGAAGGGUUUAAAGGACUUGGUUAUUUAAAUGCAUUUCGAUGUGAUCCUAUUAUAUAUAACAAUUUCUUCAAUAGCAGUUUGUUGUUACUUGUUACUUUAUUUUAUUUUACUUGAUAGAUAGAUGUUUAAGGCUUAAUUGAUGUUGCAUGAUUGCUUUUUUCCUUAUACAUGGAUUUUAAUAUUUAUAAAAAUUGGAAGAACUAGUGCUGCUUGUCUUUAGAUUCUCAAAUAGCUAUUUUUGUUGCUUGAGUUUGAUUAUUUUUGUAUAAAAAAUAACAAGAUAGUCUAUAAUAAAUAUUUGUCUACAUUUUAUAGAAUAGCAUGUUAGGCAAAACCUAAUAUAUUGACAUUGAAAAUAAUGUACAAAGGCAGUUUUAUUAAAUCAAAAAGCAGUGUCAUAAAAACCGUUUUAUUCAACCUCACUUUCUCAUUUGUAAUGACUUCAAACGAUUAAAUUUUUCUCAACAAUAUUAGAAAUUUUUUGUGAUUUUAAUUUCACAGAACUUGUUCUUCAUAAUAAUGGAAACUAGUCAUUGGAAAUUAGACUAGUUUUUCAAAUCCAACAAACACCAUUUUGCUAAAUCAAAACUUUUGUGGUGUUGAAACUGUUUUUAAUAAUGAGAAAUUCAAUUUCAUCACUUCAUAGUUUUUUGUUUUCAACAUAUACUUAACUUCUUAAUGAGUAUGAUAGGUAAUUCUUUUAUUACUUUUGACUAUAGUGCAACUAGGUUUAGAAAACUUUUUCUUGAUGAUGAUGGCAACUUUAGAGAUCUACAACUUUUAUCCUAAGCUAUUGAGGGAAGAAAUUGGAGGAAGAAGAUAGGAAAAAAAUUGGGGGAAUAAAUUUAAGAUCAAGGAAGAUGAAUAAUCAAAUGAAGAAGAUGAAGGAUAUAUUUUUAAUACAUUUUUUUUUAAUUUACUGUUUUUUUAGUCUUUACCUAGUGAAAUAUACAUGUGAGAAAUGGUGACAUACGAGAUGUCAUACUACUCAUGUAAUCAUCUACAUCAGUAGCAAAUUAUUAAAGUCAACAGUCAACUAAACGUCAAAUAUUAAAUUGAUUUAUCUAAUUUAAAUUUUUAAUUCAAUUAAAAAUUAAAGUAACAAAAUAUCAGAACCCAGAGCAUGCCUAUCGAUUAAUUCUUGGACUUUUUACAUUGAAACAGUGCUUAUCAGGACGAAGGGUUUAAAGGACUUGGUUAUUUAAAUGCAUUUCGAUGUGAUCCUAUUAUAUAUAACAAUUUCUUCAAUAGCAGUUUGUUGUUACUUGUUACUUUAUUUUAUUUUACUUGAUAGAUAGAUGUUUAAGGCUUAAUUGAUGUUGCAUGAUUGCUUUUUUCCUUAUACAUGGAUUUUAAUAUUUAUAAAAAUUGGAAG